AGACUUUAAACUUUGGAAAUGGAUUUGCUUUGGCUCUCUGCUUGUCUUUUUUGCCAAAUACUGAUGUACCAAUAUUAGCAUGUGGCGAUGAUGAUUGCAGAGUUCACGUAUUUGCUCAACAAAAUGAUCAGUUUCAGAAAGUGCUUUCUCUCUGUGGACAUGAGGAUUGGAUUAGAGGAGUGGAAUGGGCAGCCUUUGGUAGAGAUCUUUUCCUAGCAAGCUGUUCACAAGAUUGCCUGAUAAGAAUAUGGAAGCUGUAUAUAAAGUCAACAUCUUUAGAAACUCAGGAUGACGAUAACAUAAGACUGAAAGAAAAUACUUUUACCAUAGAAAAUGAAAGUGUUAAAAUAGCAUUUGCUGUUACUCUGGAGACAGUGCUAGCCGGUCAUGAAAACUGGGUAAAUGCAGUUCACUGGCAACCUGUGUUUUACAAAGGUAGGAAGAAAACCAUACACAUAUCCCUUACUCCAGUUAAAUCUUAUGGCAUGGCAAGCUGACCAAAUCAAGUGGAGAAUUUUUUUAGUGUGAUUAGAAAUCUCAAAUACAUGACAUUUUCAAGUUGACAAAGUAUAAUACUGCAUUCGUGGUCUGCUGGACACUCAAUUCUAUUGAACAUUGAACUUCUAAGUGGGAAAAGUGUAAUUCCUGCCAUGAUGCUGAAACUACCACACCCCCAGUAACUUUUUAUCUUAAAAGUUUCCACUUGAUUAUUAUGGGAUUGAAGAAAAACUGACUUUCAAGCCAACUUCACUGGAUCCU
This 759-nucleotide small RNA is filed under the name Pongo abelii (Sumatran orangutan). Its description in RNAcentral is "retained intron". Lineage: Eukaryota; Metazoa; Chordata; Mammalia; Primates; Hominidae. The record is from RNAcentral.